GGAAGCCCAAGCUCUUUGCCAAAACCGCAAGACCUUGCUACGCUUGCGGAAGUCCGAGGCUCUGCGUGUAUAACCAGGUUUCGGAGCCCAAUGGCUUAGUGCUAUUGGACAUACUUGUAGCGUGUGGAACAUUGUUCCAGCCAACGGCGUCCGACAUGGGGCUCGACCCCCCCCCCCUGAAAGACAACCUAGAACAGAACCAGCUUACAUGUCACCCACAACGAGGGUUGAUGACCCAAAUGUCGUUUCAUGAUAAGCUACUUGCUGCACAACGAAUCAGGGGUCACACCCAAGUUGUGUAAGUACGGAGUUGUCGUUUCGGCUGGAGGCCUCCUAUAUAUUAGUAGGUUAUAUAUAUAUUAGUAGGUUAUAUAUAUUAGUAGGUAUACAAAUAUAUACAAAUAUAUUAAUAUACAAAUAUAUUUAUAUUAGUAUAUAUUAAUUAGUAUAUAUUAAUUAGUAUAUAUUAAUUAGUAUAUAUUAAUUAGUAUAUAUUAAUUAGUAUAUAUUAAUUAGUAUAUAUUAAUUAGUAUAUAUUAAUUAGUAUAUAUUAAUUAGUAUAUAUUAGUAGGUAUAUUAGUACUACCAAUGAACAUUAGUAGGGCCUUUGGCACUCACUUAUGUUGGGUGCAAAUAAGUGCGUAGCCCUCCUCACCAAGCAUAGCUUGGGGUUACG
This 676-nucleotide long non-coding RNA is filed under the name Volvox carteri. RNAcentral describes it as "long non-coding RNA (VCAR_LNC004359)". Lineage: Eukaryota; Viridiplantae; Chlorophyta; Chlorophyceae; Chlamydomonadales; Volvocaceae. The record is from RNAcentral.